Molecule: long non-coding RNA, 1356 nt
Organism: Dioscorea cayenensis subsp. rotundata (Guinea yam)
Lineage: Eukaryota; Viridiplantae; Streptophyta; Magnoliopsida; Dioscoreales; Dioscoreaceae
Exons: 4
Source: RefSeq, a predicted model, not a curated record
GAAAGGUGUGGUAACCCGUGAAGAGCUCUUCUCGUGAACCGCUCCUCCGCUUUUGAUCAUCAUCUCCAUCUCCGGUCCUUGUUUCACAAGUGCCUGCUUCUCCUCUUGCUUCUCCGUUCGAUUGUGAAGUUGAGAUCUUGCUACUAUGAUUUUAACAAUCUUCGUUUGCUUCUCGGCGGUUCUUCCCUGUAAGGUAAAACAUGAACAACAUAAGGAUGUCAGAGGAUAGUUAAACGUCAACAAUGAGAACCCCUACAAAGAAAAUAGGUGGCAAUAAAAGGUGGACUGUAGCUGAAAGCCGAUUCUUUAUAAAAUUUAUGGCUUCUCAAGUUGAACAAGGUUUCAAAGUUGACUAGGGCCUCAAAUCCCAAGCACUUCAUGCUGCUAUUAGUGCAAUGAAAAGUAAAUUUGGUAUCAUAGUCACUAAAGAGAAUGUGUCAAACCAUCUUAGGUUAUCGCAAGCGGUGGGCAAAAAUAAAAAAAACUGAAAGAGUUAAGUGGAAUGGGUUGGGAUGAUUGAUUGAAGAUGAUAAUCAUGGGAGAAUCAGAGUACAGGGACUAUGUAAAGAUGCAUCCCCAGGAUGAUCCAUUCAUUAACAAGCCAAUUGAAGACCAUGACUUGCUUGAAAUUAUUUGUGGUAAUGAUCAAGCAACUGGACAACGUGUUGUGCACUUUGGAGAUGAAAUUGGCACAAAUAUGUAUGAUAGUGUUGAGCCUUGCCCAUAAUCUCAAACUGGUGGUAAGAUGACAUGUCUUUUGAGGAGACAAAUUUUCAUGUUAACAUGUCAACACCAACCCAUAACUAAUUAGGGAGCUUAGAACCCAGGAUGGCAACUUCUAGUCAAACAAAAAAAGGAAAAGGGAAAAGAAAAUUGAUCUCUGAAGUCGAGGCAAUAUAGGAGAUGAAUAGCACCCUUAAAGAGGGAGUUGCGGCAAUGAAUUCUACUCAUACAUUAUCCUUUGCUAAAGAGAUGAUUAAUGAAUGCAUGAAGUUGAAAGAAUAUGGUUACUCUAGCCGUGAGAUUAAUAAAACCUAUGAUUGGUUGAUGGACGAUGAUAGUAGAGCCAUAUCUUUCUUAGCAAAAGAUGAGGAGCUCAGGCAAUAUUGGGCAAAAGAAUUUUUUGAUUCACUCUGUAAUCAAUGAAGAAGGUCUUAAGAUCCCAAUUAGCCAGAUUUGACUCCCAAGUUUCUAUAUAUUCUAUUCUAUCAUGUUCUAUAUGCUAUCUUGUGUUACUAGGACCUUUGAUAUUAUUUUUUUAUCUCCUAUGUUAUCAUCGAAUUAUGUGUGAUGAAUCAUUGAACAUAAUCUAUGUAUUUGUGCAUGUAGUUGGAGAUUUUAUGAAGUUCUUUAAAG